This is a long non-coding RNA of Zalophus californianus (California sea lion), 235 nucleotides long. RefSeq lists it as uncharacterized. The transcript has 3 exons. NCBI's taxonomy places the organism in Eukaryota, Metazoa, Chordata, Mammalia, Carnivora, Otariidae. The record is from RefSeq and is a predicted model, not a curated record.
AUUUAGUUUUGCCAGCUAGAACCAAUACCAUACUUUAACUUACAAUGGCUUUGGGGUUUACUUCGAUAUGGCACCUCUGGCUGUGGAAUGGUAUGAUGCAAUAAGGUACAGGAAACAACUCCACUUCUGUGCCUGGAUUUCUGAGAUAACACAUGGAAGAUAACUUCUUGGGAGAGUUUCUCUUUCCUGUAGUAAAUUUUGGACAAAUAAGAAAUAAACUUCUAUUAUAUUAGGC